GGUAUACUCCCUCCGUCCCAAAAAUUUUGUCUUAGAUUUUCAUAGAUAUGAAUGUAUCUAGUCACGUUUUAACAUUUAGAUAAACUCAUUUCUAAAGAGACCUAAGACAAGAAUUUUUGGACAGAGGGAGUAUAUU
Hordeum vulgare subsp. vulgare (domesticated barley) is the source of this 136-nucleotide non-coding RNA. The record is from Rfam. NCBI's taxonomy places the organism in Eukaryota, Viridiplantae, Streptophyta, Magnoliopsida, Poales, Poaceae.